UGUAUUCGACCUGAGC
RNAcentral lists this ribosomal RNA (16 nucleotides) under Desmodesmus abundans. RNAcentral's name for it is "partial 28S ribosomal RNA". The record is from RNAcentral. RNAcentral also lists the same sequence under 8 other names. Lineage: Eukaryota; Viridiplantae; Chlorophyta; Chlorophyceae; Sphaeropleales; Scenedesmaceae.